This 253-nucleotide ribosomal RNA is filed under the name uncultured bacterium. RNAcentral describes it as "partial 16S ribosomal RNA". It matches the Rfam family "Bacterial small subunit ribosomal RNA", at positions 524 to 777 of the family's 1533-position model. The record is from RNAcentral.
UACGAAGGGGGCUAGCGUUGUUCGGAAUUACUGGGCGUAAAGGCGCGUAGGCGGCCAUUCAAGUUAGGUGUGAAAGCCCUGGGCUCAACCUAGGAAUUGCACUUGAUACUGUUUGGCUUGAGUUCGGGAGAGGUGAGUGGAAUUCCCAGUGUAGAGGUGAAAUUCGUAGAUAUUGGGAAGAACACCAGUGGCGAAGGCGGCUCACUGGACCGACACUGACGCUGAGGCGCGAAAGCUAGGGGAGCAAACGGGG